RNAcentral lists this unclassified non-coding RNA (334 nucleotides) under soil metagenome. Its description in RNAcentral is "partial contains 5.8S ribosomal RNA, internal transcribed spacer 2, and large subunit ribosomal RNA". The stretch from base 1 to 120 matches the Rfam family "5.8S ribosomal RNA", at positions 35 to 154 of the family's 154-position model. The record is from RNAcentral.
GAUGAAGAACGUAGCGAAAUGCGAUAAGUAAUGUGAAUUGCAGAAUUCAGUGAAUCAUCGAAUCUUUGAACGCACAUUGCGCCCGCCAGUAUUCUGGCGGGCAUGCCUGUUCGAGCGUCAUUUGAACCAUCAAGCCCCCGGCUUGUGUUGGGGACCUGCGGCUGCCGCAGGCCCUGAAAUGCAGUGGCGGGCUCGCUGUCACUCCGAGCGUAGUAGUUACAUCUCGCUCUGGGCGUGCUGCGGGUUCCGGCCGUUAAAAGCCUUAUUUACCCAAGGUUGACCUCGGAUCAGGUAGGAAGACCCGCUGAACUUAAGCAUAUCAAUAAGCGGAGGA